Molecule: long non-coding RNA, 383 nt
Filed under: Equus caballus (horse)
Lineage: Eukaryota; Metazoa; Chordata; Mammalia; Perissodactyla; Equidae
Description: lncRNA (ENSECAG00000049735.1)
Source: RNAcentral
GUAUCUCGGCGUCUCCUCUGCUCCCUGUGCGAGAGUGAGCCGUCUGCCUGCCGCUCGGGCUGGCAGGGUUGGGAACACCAGGCUUGGUGACUUUUCAUCGUUCCCAUUACUUACGACCUACGCAACUCGCUGGAGCUCCCACGUUUUCAGGAGGGAUGAUUUGCUCAUGCAUUGCCGAUAACCUCCCCUCCCUCGUUCUGAGUUCUGGUGGUUCCAGUGGGCCUGACCCGAAUCUCUGCUUCACAAGUUGGUAUGUGGCCCAGCCUGGCCGAAUUGAGGCCAACGAGAGUCAGGCCAGGGCUUUUUCCGGACCUGCUGUGAGAGAGAGACUCUCUUUCCAUCUAGGUUGCCAAGUUGGUAAAAGGUAAGCCUGAAGCUCCUGG